RNAcentral lists this non-coding RNA (29 nucleotides) under Mus musculus (house mouse). Lineage: Eukaryota; Metazoa; Chordata; Mammalia; Rodentia; Muridae. The record is from RNAcentral.
UUCGUGUGUGCUAGAGAAGCAAAUGCGCA